RNAcentral lists this ribosomal RNA (256 nucleotides) under uncultured soil bacterium. Its description in RNAcentral is "partial 16S ribosomal RNA". It matches the Rfam family "Bacterial small subunit ribosomal RNA", at positions 26 to 285 of the family's 1533-position model. The record is from RNAcentral.
AGGACGAACGCUGGCGGCGUGCUUAACACAUGCAAGUCGAGCGGUAAGGCCCUUUCGGGGGUACACGAGCGGCGAACGGGUGAGUAACACGUGAGCAAUCUGCCCUUCACUUCGGGAUAAGCCUCGGAAACGGGGUCUAAUACCGGAUAUGACUGCGCCAUGCAUAUGGUGUGGUGGAAAGUUCUGGCGGUGAGGGAUGAGCUCGCGGCCUAUCAGCUUGUUGGUGGGUAAUGGCCUACCAAGGCUUCGACGGGUA